ACUCAAAUGAAUAGACGGGGACCCGCACAAGCGGUGGAGCGUGUUGUUUAAUUCGAUGCUAAGCGAAGAACCUUACCCAGGUUUGACAUCCCGAGAAUUUUUCCGAAAGGAAAUUGUGCCGCAAGGAACUCGGUGACAGGUGAUGCAUGGCCGUCGUCAGCUCGUGUCGUGAGAUGUUGGGUUAAGUCCCGCAACGAGCGCAACCCUUAUGUUUAGUUGUAUUUCUCUAAACAGACUGCCCUGGCAACAGGGAGGAAGGGGGGGAUGAUGUCAGGUCCGUAUCUCCCUUACAUCUGGGGCUACAAACACGCUACAAUGGCCGGUACAAAGGGCAGCCAACCCGCGAGGGGGAGCAAAUCCCAUCAAAGCCGGUCUCAGUUCGGAUUGUAGGCUGAAACUCGCCUGCAUGAAGCCGGAAUCGCUAGUAAUGGUAGGUCAGCACACUACCGUGAAUACGUUCCCGGGUCUUGUACACACCGCCCGU
Molecule: ribosomal RNA, 484 nt
Filed under: uncultured bacterium
Lineage: Bacteria
Description: partial 16S ribosomal RNA
Rfam family: Bacterial small subunit ribosomal RNA
Source: RNAcentral